GGUAGUCCACGCCGCAAACGAUGUCGACUUGGAGGUUGUGCCCUUGAGGCGUGGCUUCCGGAGCUAACGCGUUAAGUCGACCGCCUGGGGAGUACGGCCGCAAGGUUAAAACUCAAAUGAAUUGACGGGGGCCCGCACAAGCGGUGGAGCAUGUGGUUUAAUUCGAUGCAACGCGAAGAACCUUACCUACUCUUGACAUCCAGAGAACUUAGCAGAGAUGCUUUGGUGCCUUCGGGAACUCUGAGACAGGUGCUGCAUGGCUGUCGUCAGCUCGUGUUGUGAAAUGUUGGGUUAAGUCCCGCAACGAGCGCAACCCUUAUCCUUUGUUGCCAGCGGUUAGGCCGGGAACUCAAAGGAGACUGCCAGUGAUAAACUGGAGGAAGGUGGGGAUGACGUCAAGUCAUCAUGGCCCUUACGAGUAGGGCUACACACGUGCUACAAUGGCGCAUACAAAGAGAAGCGACCUCGCGAGAGCAAGCGGACCUCAUAAAAUGCGUCGUAGUCCGGAUUGGAGUCCGCAACUCGACUCCAUGAAGUCGGAAUCGCUAGUAAUCGUAGAUCAGAAUGCUACGGUGAAUACGUUCCCGGGCCUUGUACACACCGCCCGUCACACCAUGGGAGUGGGUUGCAAAAGAAGUAGGUAGCUUAACCUUCGGGAGGGCGCUUACCACUUUGUGAUUCAUGACUGGGGUGAAGUCGUAACAAGGUAACCGUAGGGGAACCUGC
This 726-nucleotide ribosomal RNA is filed under the name uncultured bacterium. RNAcentral's name for it is "bacterial SSU rRNA". It matches the Rfam family "Bacterial small subunit ribosomal RNA", at positions 789 to 1515 of the family's 1533-position model. The record is from RNAcentral.